GUCACAGAAGAGGAAGUGGUGUUGUAGUUGUCCCCACUGGGGCAGGCGGCGGCGGUGGUGAAGGAACGAGGGUGCACGGGGCCUCCCCGAGGGGCCAAGUGAGAGGCCGGCAGCCACCAUGGAGCUCUGGCGACAGUGCACCCACUGGCUGAUCCAGUGUCGGGUGCUGCCUCCCAGCCACCGUGUGACCUGGGAGGGGGCCCAGGUGUGUGAGCUGGCACAGGCACUGCGGGACGGUGUCCUCUUGUGCCAAUUGCUUAACAACCUGCUUCCCCAGGCCAUUAAUCUUCGCGAGGUUAACUUGCGGCCCCAGAUGUCCCAGUUCCUUUGUCUUAAGAACAUUCGAACCUUCCUGUCUACUUGCUGUGAGAAGUUCGGCCUCAAGCGCAGUGAACUCUUUGAGGCUUUUGACCUCUUCGAUGUGCAGGACUUUGGAAAGGUCAUCUACACCCUGUCUGCUCUGUCAUGGACACCCAUUGCCCAGAACAAAGGAAUCAUGCCCUUCCCAACAGAGGACAGCGCUCUGAACGACGAAGAUAUUUACAGUGGCCUUUCAGACCAGAUUGAUGACACCGCAGAGGAAGACGAGGACCUUUAUGACUGCGUGGAAAAUGAGGAGGCAGAGGGGGACGAGAUCUACGAGGACCUAAUGCGCUUGGAGUCGGUGCCUACGCCACCCAAGAUGACAGAGUAUGAUAAGCGCUGCUGCUGCCUGCGGGAGAUCCAGCAGACGGAGGAGAAGUAUACAGACACACUGGGCUCCAUCCAGCAGCACUUCAUGAAGCCUCUGCAGCGAUUCCUUAAGCCUCAAGACAUGGAGACCAUCUUUGUCAACAUUGAGGAGCUGUUCUCUGUGCAUACCCACUUCUUAAAGGAACUGAAGGAUGCCCUGGCUGGCCCGGGAGCAACAACACUGUAUCAGGUCUUCAUCAAGUACAAGGAGAGGUUCCUGGUUUAUGGCCGUUAUUGCAGUCAGGUGGAGUCAGCCAGCAAGCACUUGGAUCAAGUGGCCACAGCACGGGAGGAUGUGCAGAUGAAGCUGGAGGAAUGUUCUCAAAGAGCUAACAAUGGCCGAUUCACCCUACGGGAUCUGCUGAUGGUACCUAUGCAGCGGGUGCUGAAGUACCACCUCCUUCUCCAGGAGCUAGUGAAACACACACAGGAUGCUACAGAGAAGGAGAACCUGCGGUUGGCCCUGGACGCCAUGAGGGACCUGGCACAGUGCGUGAACGAGGUCAAGAGGGACAAUGAAACCCUACGGCAGAUCACAAACUUUCAGCUGUCCAUUGAGAACCUGGACCAGUCUCUGGCUAACUAUGGCCGGCCCAAGAUUGACGGUGAGCUCAAGAUUACCUCAGUGGAGCGUCGCUCAAAGACAGACAGGUAUGCCUUCCUGCUGGACAAAGCACUGCUCAUCUGUAAACGCCGCGGGGACUCUUACGACCUCAAAGCCUCGGUGAACUUGCACAGCUUCCAAGUUCGAGAUGACUCCUCCGGGGAGCGAGACAACAAGAAGUGGAGCCAUAUGUUCCUUCUGAUUGAGGAUCAAGGCGCCCAGGGCUAUGAGCUGUUCUUCAAGACUCGGGAGCUGAAGAAGAAGUGGAUGGAACAGUUCGAAAUGGCCAUCUCCAACAUUUACCCAGAGAAUGCUACAGCCAAUGGGCAUGAUUUUCAGAUGUUCUCCUUUGAGGAGACCACUUCCUGCAAGGCCUGCCAGAUGUUACUCAGAGGCACAUUCUACCAGGGAUAUCGCUGUUACAGGUGCCGGGCACCUGCACACAAGGAGUGUCUGGGGAGAGUGCCUCCCUGUGGUCGCCAUGGGCAAGAUUUCGCAGGAACCAUGAAGAAGGACAAGCUCCAUCGAAGGGCCCAGGACAAGAAAAGGAAUGAAUUGGGUCUGCCUAAGAUGGAAGUGUUUCAGGAAUACUAUGGGAUCCCUCCUCCACCUGGAGCCUUUGGGCCAUUUUUACGGCUCAACCCUGGGGACAUUGUGGAGCUCACUAAGGCAGAGGCUGAGCACAACUGGUGGGAGGGAAGGAAUACUGCUACAAAUGAAGUCGGCUGGUUUCCCUGUAACAGAGUGCAUCCCUAUGUCCACGGCCCUCCUCAGGACCUGUCUGUGCAUCUCUGGUAUGCGGGCCCUAUGGAACGAGCAGGCGCUGAGGGCAUCCUCACCAACCGUUCUGAUGGGACCUAUCUGGUGCGGCAGAGGGUGAAAGAUACAGCGGAGUUCGCCAUCAGCAUUAAGUAACUCCUCCUUCCAUGACCACGCCCCUUUGACGUAUAACGUGGAGGUCAAGCAUAUUAAAAUCAUGACGUCAGAGGGGUUGUACCGGAUCACAGAGAAGAAGGCUUUCCGGGGCCUUCUGGAACUGGUAGAGUUUUAUCAGCAGAAUUCCCUCAAAGAUUGCUUCAAGUCGUUGGACACCACCUUGCAGUUUCCUUAUAAGGAACCUGAGAGGAGAGCCAUCAGCAAGCCACCAGCUGGAAGCACCAAGUAUUUUGGCACUGCCAAAGCCCGCUACGACUUCUGUGCCCGGGACAGGUCGGAACUGUCCCUUAAGGAGGGUGAUAUCAUCAAGAUCCUCAAUAAGAAGGGACAGCAAGGCUGGUGGCGUGGGGAGAUCUACGGCCGGAUCGGCUGGUUCCCUUCUAACUAUGUGGAGGAAGACUAUUCCGAAUAUUGCUGAGCCUGGUGCCCUGUAGGACACAGAGAGAGGCAGAUGAAGGCUGAGCCCAGGAUGCUAGCAGGGUUGAGGGGCCAUGAACUGUCCUCACCAGCGGAGGAUCUGGAUGGCGUGCAGAUGGCUAGUGGCCAGCUGGCAGGGUUCCCAGGAUAAAGCCCAGAGAUGCGUAAUUUAUAACACACUGAUUUUCUCCAGUCCUCCACGAAAGGUGGGGCUUGAGGCAACUGAUUCUAAUAAAGUGAGGAGAGCAGGAACUGGCGUGUUCCAGACUGACUGUAAGGGGAGCCACAGGGUGGGCACGCACUGACCAAAGUUCACUCAAGCAAUGCCCUCCUUGUGUCAAGGCCUCCCUUCUCUGACUUUUACAGUACAGGUUGAAGGAGACCUGGGAUUUCUACGCAGCAGAAGAGAGUGCUGUCUUUACAGGGUCUGGAUUGCAGAAAUCAAGUCUAUACCUCCCCUUCCCUUCUUUUUGUCCUCAACGCCAAGGAAAGACCUCUUGACCUCAGCAUGAUAGGAAGACACACUACAGCUGAGCGCCUCACUGGGAGAUUCUAGGCAGGGGAUCCACCACAACCAUUCCCUAACUCCUCACUGGGGGGAUUCUGGGUGGGGCUCCACCCCCUGACCACGCCCCAGCCCUUAUUGUGGGCUUCUGGUAGUGGGGUUGGGGGAGGGGAGGGGACUCUACUGCUGUGCCACACUCCCAGUCCUUUAAAAUCUUCGAGACAAGGUCUUGCUAAAUAGGCCAGACUGACCUUGAACAUAUUGCAGCUGGACUUCAACUUGUCAUCCUCCUGCCUCAGCUUCCUUAUAAUAGAAGUUAAUGUUUUGAGUUCUCUCCUUCCGCUGAGUAAGGGAAAAAAACCUCAAUAUAUUCUCUCUUCCCCCCCCCCCUUUAUUAUAUAUAUGAGUACGCCCUCGCUGUCUUCACACACACCAGAAGAGGGCAUCAGAUCCCAUUACAGAUGAUUGUGAGACACCAUGUGGUUGCUGGGAUUCGAACUCAGGACCUCUGGAAGAGCAGUCAGUGCUCUUAACCCCUGAGCCAUCUCUCCAACCUCUCAAAAUAAGCUCUUCAAAAAUCUAGGGUAAAUCCUAUAAACCUUGGCUCUGGUGUACUGAGGAGAUAGCCAGCUCUCCUUUGCUGCCUUGCUUCCUGUGGAGACGACAUUGCUCACAUCAGAACCCUUCUUGGCCCGCCAGGUAGAACAACCGCACGCACUCUGGUUUACCCAGGCUCAUUUUGCCUGUUGCCCUGGUGUAGUUAUCUGUGACCUGUGUCCUACUUUGAUUUUUGUUGCUGUGGCAAACGACUUGACCUAAUGCUCCCCGCGGAGGAAAAGAUGUAUGUUUUGGCUACACUUCCAGUGUCCACAGUUUGUCACUGAUGGAAGUCAGGGCAGGAGCUGAAUCAGGAGCUGAAGCAGGGGCCAGGGGGCGGGGGAUGCUCUUACUGGCUCAUUAUUGGCUUUAUGCCCAGCUACCAUCCUUUCUUCUUUUUCAGUAAUAAAGUUUUUACUUACUUUA
This is an RNA transcript of Mus musculus (house mouse), 4217 nucleotides long. It is a transcript of the gene named vav 1 oncogene, with no coding region annotated. The transcript is spliced from 27 exons. Lineage: Eukaryota; Metazoa; Chordata; Mammalia; Rodentia; Muridae. The record is from RefSeq and is marked validated.